Molecule: transfer RNA, 61 nt
Filed under: Bambusiphaga taibaishana
Lineage: Eukaryota; Metazoa; Arthropoda; Insecta; Hemiptera; Delphacidae
Description: tRNA-Cys
Source: RNAcentral
AAUCUUGUAUUCAAUUAAUGAUUUUAAAUUGCAAAUUUAAAGGUGUUUAAAACCAAGAUUU